GACGAACGCUGGCGGCGUGCUUAACACAUGCAAGUCGAACGGUGAAGGUGGGAGCUUGCUUCUGCUGGAUCAGUGGCGAACGGGUGAGUAACACGUGAGUAAUCUGCCCCGGACUCUGGGAUAAGCGCUGGAAACGGCGUCUAAUACUGGAUAUGACCCAUACAGGCAUCUGUUGUGGGUGGAAAGAUUUUUUGGUUUGGGAUGAGCUCGCGGCCUAUCAGCUUGUUGGUGAGGUAAUGGCUUACCAAGGCGACGACGGGUAGCCGGCCUGAGAGGGUGACCGGCCACACUGGGACUGAGACACGGCCCAGACUCCUACGGGAGGCAGCAGUGGGGAAUAUUGCACAAUGGGCGGAAGCCUGAUGCAGCAACGCCGCGUGAGGGAUGACGGCCUUCGGGUUGUAAACCUCUUUUAGCAGGGAAGAAGCUUUUUGUGACGGUACCUGCAGAAAAAGCACCGGCUAACUACGUGCCAGCCGCCGCCGUAACAC
This 491-nucleotide ribosomal RNA is filed under the name uncultured bacterium. RNAcentral's name for it is "bacterial SSU rRNA". It matches the Rfam family "Bacterial small subunit ribosomal RNA", at positions 28 to 526 of the family's 1533-position model. The record is from RNAcentral.